This is a long non-coding RNA of Paralichthys olivaceus (Japanese flounder), 1544 nucleotides long. RefSeq lists it as uncharacterized. NCBI's taxonomy places the organism in Eukaryota, Metazoa, Chordata, Actinopteri, Pleuronectiformes, Paralichthyidae. The record is from RefSeq and is a predicted model, not a curated record.
CUUGAGUGUUCUGUGUUCCACCCAUGCGUGGUUCUGCUCUUCUCUCCUGUGCUCUUUUUUUGCCUAACUGUUCUUACCUUGGAUCUUUGGACUCAUGUUCUGGCCUCUGGAUUACCACAUGCUUCCUGGUUGGCUCUGGUUGAACAGCUUGGACUGCUCCCCCUGGUUUUUGACUUUGGAGGCCUCACUACAUCCGGUCCAUCAAGAGCAGGGGACCAGCUGCUGUGACGCGACAGGGUAAUGCGUGUCUUGCACGUACAAUAUCCUGAGCUCACUAUUUCCGAUGUGGCUUUUAAGUGAGGGCAGCGCUGAAGUGUUUCUGAUGGUGAAGAAGGACGAUGGAUCACCGUUCUGUUGGCGGCUACUUGAAAGGUCAAGGAUGGUCAUCAGGCAUGAGGGCACGUGGCUUUGGUCGGAGACAUGGGGAGAGACGGGCAGAGGGGAUAAAGAGGACUCUGGAGCAUGCUCAGCUGUGCCAUUCUCCUUUGUGGAGGAGGUCAGGAGAGAAAGACUCAGCUACUGGGGUUUUUCCUGUUGAAAAUUAUCAUAAUAAUAGUAAUAAUGAAAAAAAUGUGACCAAUUGAUCUUCACUGCUGCGUCUCAACAUCAGAGAAUAAAAUCCCCCCUGACAGAGACGCCUGAAGCCUUUGUCUGACCACGUGAUUGAAGUUUGAUCCUCUGCAGGCUGAUCAUUGAACUUCAAACUUUGUCCGGCCCCAUUGUCUUGUCUUUAGAAAAGUCUCUUCCCCCUUUGCACUAAUCUAUGUCUGGAGGUGUGGACCUCUGCCACAUGACUUGAAUUUGAGUCAGAGGGACAGAGUCAAGAAUGUGACGACGUUCGACUUGAUUUGACAUUAUCAGAUAAGGCUUGCAACUUGACUUUGACUGAAAGUCGAUGUUUGCCUUAGAUUUUGUGUGAGUUGAUAACCUUCACAAGUCCAAUGCUUCAGAAUGACUUUGUGGACAAAUGUGCAGCCAAUCACCUCUUCAUUUUGCUGACAACAGAUAUAAAGUACUUUGACAACAGAGAUCAAUCACAGUGCAGAAGAGAGCGAUAAAGGAGUGUAUGUGGCAAACCAGCAGACGGCCAUCAGAUGAUACGCUUAUCACAUUCAAAUGCGGACUGUGCUGUAGUCAGCAGAAAACGAGCGUGACAUCCCAAACAUUUAGCUGAGGAACACCAAAGACUGUCACAGUGAAAACAUGAAAAGUAUAUUCAUCUGUUGGAUUUUAAAUGGAGUAAAGUUUGAAUUUGAAAGGAAAAGGAUCAUUUUACCAUGCUACUCCAAAUUUUCUUGGGGAACACGGUUGUGGAUCGAGGUUAGAGACGGUCGUCCACUAACCAGGGGCUCCAUGGUUCAAUCCCUGCCCCUGACGACAGUGAGGGUAUGAGUGAUGUAAUCAAAUAAGCAUUGCUUGUGGAAGCACUAAAUGUGGAGUGUGAAUGUGACUUGUACUGUGAAGUGCCUUGAGUGAGUCAGGAUGGAAAAACACUAUAUAAGAGCUCUCAUUUUCUUAUUAACAUUACUUGAUUAAAUACUAGA